GGAGUGGUAGCUCAGACUGGGAGAGCGGUGGGCUGACUCCUCACUUGUCGAGGUCAAGUCCCUCCCACUCCA
Molecule: transfer RNA, 72 nt
Filed under: Candidatus Bathyarchaeota archaeon RBG_13_60_20
Lineage: Archaea; Thermoproteati; Candidatus Bathyarchaeota
Description: tRNA-Val
Rfam family: tRNA
About the family: Transfer RNA (tRNA) molecules are approximately 80 nucleotides in length. Their secondary structure includes four short double-helical elements and three loops (D, anti-codon, and T loops). Further hydrogen bonds mediate the characteristic L-shaped molecular structure. tRNAs have two regions of fundamental functional importance: the anti-codon, which is responsible for specific mRNA codon recognition, and the 3' end, to which the tRNAs corresponding amino acid is attached (by aminoacyl-tRNA synthetases). tRNAs cope with the degeneracy of the genetic code in two manners: having more than one tRNA (with a specific anti-codon) for a particular amino acid; and 'wobble' base-pairing, i.e. permitting non-standard base-pairing at the 3rd anti-codon position.
Source: RNAcentral